CAGUAGCCGCGGUAAUACGUAGGUGGCAAGCGUUGUCCGGAAUUAUUGGGCGUAAAGGGCUCGCAGGCGGUUUCUUAAGUCUGAUGUGAAAGCCCCCGGCUCAACCAGGGAGGGUCAUUGGAAACUGGGAAACUUGAGUGCAGAAGAGGAGAGUGGAAUUCCACGUGUAGCGGUGAAAUGCGUAGAGAUGUGGAGGAACACCAGUGGCGAAGGCGACUCUCUGGUCUGUAACUGACGCUGAGGAGCGAAAGCGUGGGGAGCGGACAGGAUUAGAUACCCCCGUAGUCCCUGUCUCUUAUAC
RNAcentral lists this ribosomal RNA (301 nucleotides) under uncultured bacterium. Its description in RNAcentral is "partial 16S ribosomal RNA". It matches the Rfam family "Bacterial small subunit ribosomal RNA", at positions 509 to 807 of the family's 1533-position model. The record is from RNAcentral.